AUGGUUGCUUUUUAUCGAAUUUAUCAAAACAAUAUUUUAAAUAACAAUAAAUCAUUUUAUAAAAUUUGCAAGGCUAAAUUGUGGAUAUAAAAAUCGAACCAUUUUUGAAAUAAGUUAGUUUCAGUUAAUAUGACAUCGUUAAUAAAAAUGCUCGUUUUUGUUUUCUAUUUACUAUACACUUACUUCUUGUUCGUGUGUUCAAAUCCUACUGGCCGCCAAAUACGAGAAGCCAAUCCAUAUUUAUUUUGUAUUGGUCCUCCAUGUACUCCAAAUAGUAAUGUUGUAAAUUCAACUGGUUAUUAAUGUUAAUAAACUGCUAAAAGAUG
Long non-coding RNA from Tribolium castaneum (red flour beetle), 326 nucleotides. RefSeq lists it as uncharacterized. The transcript is spliced from 3 exons. The record is from RefSeq and is a predicted model, not a curated record. NCBI's taxonomy places the organism in Eukaryota, Metazoa, Arthropoda, Insecta, Coleoptera, Tenebrionidae.